Molecule: ribosomal RNA, 467 nt
Filed under: uncultured bacterium
Lineage: Bacteria
Description: partial 16S ribosomal RNA
Rfam family: Bacterial small subunit ribosomal RNA
Source: RNAcentral
ACCAGACUCCUACGGGAGGCAGCAGUGAGGAAUAUUGGUCAAUGGGCGGAAGCCUGAACCAGCCAAGUCGCGUGAGGGAAGAAGGCCCUGCGGGUCGCAGACCUCUUUGGACGGGGAGCAAGGCCGCCGACGUGUCGGCGGAAGGAGAGUACCCGUAGAACAAGCAUCGGCUAACUCCGUGCCAGCAGCCGCGGUAAUACGGAGGAUGCGAGCGUUAUCCGGAUUUAUUGGGUUUAAAGGGUGCGUAGGCGGACUGGAAAGUCAGCGGUAAAAUCGAGAGGCUCAACCUCUUUCCGCCGUUGAAACUGUCGGUCUUGAGUGGGCGAGAAGUAUGCGGAAUGCGUGGUGUAGCGGUGAAAUGCAUAGAUAUCACGCAGAACUCCGAUUGCGAAGGCAGCCUACUAAACUGCCACUGACAUUGAUGCUCGAAAGUGUGGGUAUCAAACAGGAUUAGAUACCCGGGUACG